RNAcentral lists this ribosomal RNA (433 nucleotides) under uncultured bacterium. RNAcentral describes it as "partial 16S ribosomal RNA". It matches the Rfam family "Bacterial small subunit ribosomal RNA", at positions 29 to 507 of the family's 1533-position model. The record is from RNAcentral.
AACGAACGCUGGCGGCAUGCCUAACACAUGCAAGUCGAACGAGACCUUCGGGUCUAGUGGCGCACGGGCGCGUAACGCGUGGGAACCUGCCUUUAGGCUCGGAAUAACUCAGAGAAAUUUGAGCUAAUACCGGAUGAUGUCUUCGGACCAAAGAUUUAUCGCCUUUAGAUGGGCCCGCGUUGGAUUAGCUAGUUGGUGGGGUAAAGGCCUACCAAGGCGACGAUCCAUAGCUGGUCUGAGAGGAUGAUCAGCCACACUGGGACUGAGACACGGCCCAGACUCCUACGGGAGGCAGCAGUGGGGAAUAUUGGACAAUGGGCGAAAGCCUGAUCCAGCAAUGCCGCGUGAGUGAUGAAGGCCUUAGGGUUGUAAAGCUCUUUUACCCGAGAUGAUAAUGACAGUAUCGGGAGAAUAAGCUCCGGCUAACUCCGUG